CCUGCGCUGUCUUCUCCGCUGCUGCUGCUGCUGUGUGCUCCACACACUUAAACGCUGUCAAACGUUUCCGUAGCGCGGACGCAAAUUUUUUCCACAGACAGCGACACACCCAGGCGGACUCCGCCGAGCAGUGGGCGAGGCAGCCUGAACUCCGCCGGACCGUUCAAGAUGUGCCGGAGCGGGCAGGAGCGACCCGGCUGCUGUUGGUGGUCAAGAAAUACAUGCACCUAAAGCCAGAGGAAGAAAGAGGAAGGAGUCACCAUUUGCGCCUUAAAGCGGAUUGUGCAUCACUGCAGGCUCUCUCACGCUCGCCGGCUUCAUACCAGCUGAUGCACAGCAGUUCUUCACUGGCAAGCUUUAUGUUUCUGUACACAUGCUAAAGCUGCCAGCUGAAGAACUGCUCUGGCCAGCUCUGCUCCCGGAAGGCUCAAGAAGAGGAAGCAGAUGACGGGUGAUGGGAAUUUGGCUGAAGAGGACGUUUAUAACCUGUAAGAUUGGACCCAGAAACAUUGUAUAGAUUAUAGGCAGACAUGUUAUCUUUUUCCCACCAAAAACUGCUUGAAUUGUGUUUUUUAUGUCUUUCAAUAAAGCACAAAAUAUUUUCUCA
This is a non-coding RNA of Neolamprologus brichardi, 607 nucleotides long. The record is from RefSeq and is a predicted model, not a curated record. NCBI's taxonomy places the organism in Eukaryota, Metazoa, Chordata, Actinopteri, Cichliformes, Cichlidae.